GGCAGGACCAUCUAUACUAGAGGUGGGCAAUAAUUUUUGAUGGGGCCACUCUAAGAUUUGGGUCGUAUUAUUGAGAGUCUCAGCAUCCAUGGGCCACCCCAGGCACACCAUGACACUUGAACAAAAGAUCAUCCAUCUUUCCACAGCCUGCACAUUUGGACUCCACCCUCAGAGAGCACAACAUAAGCACCUACUUAGAAGAGAGUGGAAAGGUUGCUCACAGCUAAAAUCAAGUGAAGAAUAUUGAACUGUGUACUGUAAUUGCAAAUUUGCUGCUUUGGGUCACUCCCACUAAUUACAUUUCAAGGCUGUGAUGACCAUUAGCAAGAGACAAUGGAGCUUAACCUUCCUGUGGAUGUGUGGGUUAUCCUGUGACAGAGACAGUGUUGCAGAGACAUGUGACCAUGACACCAUCCAACUCUGUACGUUUCCAUGAGAGCAGGAAAAGGGGGUCAACCUGAAACUCCCACUUUUUGCAAAUCCUAUGUAAGGGUGGGGAGUGAGGUAAUCCUGGACAUCGGUUCUCACCUGGGACUUCACCUCAGAUAACUGCUGGAAACAACAAGACUGAACAAAGUUUUAUGUCAGAAGACGACGAACCUCCGCUAUGAUGACGCCAUGCUAAGACAGCAGUAAACAUGAAAUCAACAUCAACUGAAAUGGCAGAGAUUCCUAGAAUGAUUUAAAAUAUUUAAAAACAAUAAAUAAUAUGAAGUAAU
Pelodiscus sinensis (Chinese soft-shelled turtle) is the source of this 719-nucleotide non-coding RNA. Lineage: Eukaryota; Metazoa; Chordata; Testudines; Trionychidae. The record is from RefSeq and is a predicted model, not a curated record.